UUGUGCUUGCUUGUCUUGCGCUCUCACUGCUCUGACGGAUGCUUUUAUUAGACCAAACCGCUGAGGACUUGAGGGUUCGCCCUCUAGUUCGACUCGUGCGAUGGUGACUCUGGAUAACCUUGACGAGCGCACGUACUCCUCUUCUGAGCGAGACGGCGCUGCCACUUUCGAGUGUCUGCCUUAUCAGCUAUCAACCGUUCGUUAUGCGCGACCGAUGGCUUUGACGGGUAACGGGGAAUCAGGGUUCGAUUCCGGAGAGGCAGCCUGAGAGACGGCUACCACGUCCAAGGACGGCAGCAGGCACGCAAAUUACCCAAUCCCAGCAAAUGGGGGAGGUAGUGACGAAAUCUAACGAUGCGGGCGCCCUUUCUGGGGCCCCGCAAUCGGAAUGGGCACUUUCUAAACAACCUGUUGAGAACCUACUGAAGGGCAAGUCUGGUGCCAGCAGCCGCGGUAAUUCCAGCUUCAGCAGCAUCUAUUAAAGUUGCUGCGGUUAAAAGGCUCGCAGUUGAAUGUCUGUAUCGAGCGCAGGUCAGGUGGACGUUGGGGCGUGGAAGUACGGGCAGUUGGAUGUUCGGAGGGCAUUCGUGUUCGACGGCUCCUUCGGCUUUUCCACACACCCCCGUCCGUGACAAGCCUCCUCGCUCGGGUACAUAACGGGAAUCGGUCAAACGGAGUGUGGUCGGGAGUUGAGGUGCGUGGCUUCGGCUGCGUGCUCCUUCUUUCGGCUGCGUCAAGCUCCAUCGGUUUCACGGUCACCUUGAGUAAAUCAGAGUGCUCAAAGCAGUCGUA
This 792-nucleotide ribosomal RNA is filed under the name Gammarus cf. fossarum O DCC-2015. Its description in RNAcentral is "bacterial SSU rRNA". It matches the Rfam family "Eukaryotic small subunit ribosomal RNA", at positions 182 to 788 of the family's 1831-position model. Lineage: Eukaryota; Metazoa; Arthropoda; Malacostraca; Amphipoda; Gammaridae. The record is from RNAcentral.